RNAcentral lists this ribosomal RNA (253 nucleotides) under uncultured bacterium. RNAcentral's name for it is "partial 16S ribosomal RNA". It matches the Rfam family "Bacterial small subunit ribosomal RNA", at positions 524 to 776 of the family's 1533-position model. The record is from RNAcentral.
UACGGAGGGUGCAAGCGUUGUCCGGAUUUAUUGGGUUUAAAGGGUGCGUAGGCGGUCUUUUAAGUCAGUGGUGAAAUCCUCCAGCUUAACUGGAGAACUGCCAUUGAUACUGGGAGACUUGAGUACAGACGAGGUAGGCGGAAUUGACAGUGUAGCGGUGAAAUGCAUAGAUAUUGUCAAGAACACCGAUUGCGAAGGCAGCUUACUAGACUGUAACUGACGCUGAGGCACGAAAGUGUGGGGAUCAAACAGG